Molecule: ribosomal RNA, 254 nt
Filed under: uncultured Acidobacteriota bacterium
Lineage: Bacteria; Pseudomonadati; Acidobacteriota
Description: uncultured Acidobacteria bacterium partial 16S ribosomal RNA
Rfam family: Bacterial small subunit ribosomal RNA
Source: RNAcentral
UACGGGGGGGGCAAGCGUUGUUCGGAAUUACUGGGUGUAAAGGGCUCGUAGGCGGCCAACUAAGUCUGACGUGAAAUCCCCCGGCUUAACUGGGGAACUGCGUCAGGUACUGGUUGGCUUGAGUUCGGGAGAGGGACGUGGAAUUCCAGGUGUAGCGGUGAAAUGCGUAGAUAUCUGGAGGAACACCGGUGGCGAAGGCGGCGUCCUGGACCGACUACUGACGCUGAGGAGCGAAAGCCAGGGGAGCAAACGGG